Non-coding RNA from Erinaceus europaeus (western European hedgehog), 67 nucleotides. The record is from Rfam. NCBI's taxonomy places the organism in Eukaryota, Metazoa, Chordata, Mammalia, Eulipotyphla, Erinaceidae.
AGGUCUUCAAUAAGUAUUUGUUGAAAGAAUAAAUGAGCCAACAAGUCUUAUUUGAGCACCUGUUAUG